RNAcentral lists this ribosomal RNA (208 nucleotides) under uncultured bacterium. RNAcentral describes it as "partial 16S ribosomal RNA". It matches the Rfam family "Bacterial small subunit ribosomal RNA", at positions 568 to 774 of the family's 1533-position model. The record is from RNAcentral.
CGCGUAGGUGGCUUGUCAGGUCCGAUGUGAAAUUCUGGGGCUCAACUCCAGGCGUGCAUCGGAAACCGGCUUGCUAGAGUCUGGGAGAGGAGAGUGGAAUUCCUGGUGUAGCGGUGAAAUGCGUAGAUAUCAGGAGGAACACCGGUAGCGAAGGCGGCUCUCUGGAACAGUACUGACACUGAAGGCGCGAAAGCUAGGGGAGCGAACA